This 775-nucleotide long non-coding RNA is filed under the name Homo sapiens (human). RNAcentral's name for it is "non-protein coding lnc-NAV1-2:5". The record is from RNAcentral. Lineage: Eukaryota; Metazoa; Chordata; Mammalia; Primates; Hominidae.
UUGUGUCUGGCUUCUUAGCUCAGCAUAAUGUUUUUGAGAUUCAUCCAUGUUGAAUGAUGUAUUUUGCUUCUUUUAAUUUCUGACGUAUGAAUGUGCCACAGUUUGUUUAUGGGAGGAAACUUGAGAUUCCUUUCAUUGCGGUAGGAUUCACAUCUAUCCAACACAACAGAGAGCAGAAUCCAAAAGUCGUGCAGUCUUUUUGGAAGAGCACUGGACUGAAAGUUGAGUCCCUCCUGCACCUUUUGGCAUAUAACCUGGGUAACUCAUUUAACCUGUCUCAGUCUUAGAGUCCUUAUCCAUCAAAUGAUCAGUUUGCUAGGGCUGCCAUAACAAAGUACCACUAAGUGGGUGGCUUAAUGAAACAGAAAUCUAUAGUGUCAGUUCUGGAGGGUAGAAGUCUGAAAUCGAGGUGUUGGCAGGGUCAUACUCCCUCUGAAAUUAGUGGAGAAUUUUUCCUUGCCUCUUCUAGUGUCCGGUGCUUCACUAAUUACUUCUUCAAUGACCCUAUUUCCAAAUAAGGUCACAUUCGGAGACACUGGGAAUUAGUACUUCAAUUAUCUUUUUUGGUGACACAAUUCAACCCAUAACAUGCCACCUGCCACAAGAUUGAAUGAGGCAAUCCUUUGUCAUUGUUGCAGGUAAGGCAAGAAUCAGGGGAGAUUUUGGCCAGAGACCUACUUUUAACAUUCUAUGUGACCUCGUUCAAAUCUCUUCUCCUCUCUGGAUCUCAGUUUCCUCAUCUACAAAAUGAUCUGUAAUGUCUUCCCUAGAUGUA